AGCCGGGGUGGUAGCGGUACCUUGUACCUACAAUCCGCUAUAGUAGGGGUGAUACUGUGCGGAGGGCAGUUUUUGUCAAAGCCGCCCUUGUCCAGCGGCGUUGAUAUUCGGGUCUUACGCGGCAGAAAUCUGUGAACCGUGUCAGGUCGGGAACGAAGCAGCACUAAGCAGAAUCUUCUGGGUGCCGUAAGGCAGCCUGAGUUGAGCUUGCUGGCAAGGUAACGUUUGGGAGGGAUUUGUUCGAAGCACAGUGCA
RNAcentral lists this signal recognition particle RNA (255 nucleotides) under Bariatricus massiliensis. Its description in RNAcentral is "Bacterial large signal recognition particle RNA". It matches the Rfam family "Bacterial large signal recognition particle RNA". From Rfam's summary of the family: The signal recognition particle (SRP) is a universally conserved ribonucleoprotein involved in the co-translational targeting of proteins to membranes. The record is from RNAcentral. Lineage: Bacteria; Bacillati; Bacillota; Clostridia; Lachnospirales; Lachnospiraceae.